This 256-nucleotide ribosomal RNA is filed under the name uncultured bacterium. Its description in RNAcentral is "partial 16S ribosomal RNA". It matches the Rfam family "Bacterial small subunit ribosomal RNA", at positions 521 to 776 of the family's 1533-position model. The record is from RNAcentral.
UAAGACGAGGGAUCCUAGCGUUGUUCGGAAUCAUUGGGCGUAAAGCGGGUGUAGGCGGACUUCUAAGUCAGGUGUGAAAUCCCAGGGCUCAACCCUGGAAGUGCAUUUGAUACUGGAAAUCUUGAGUGUGGUAGAGGCUACUGGAAUUGUUGGUGUAGUGGUGAAAUACGUAGAUAUCAACAGGAAUACCGGAGGCGAAGGCGAGUAGCUGGGCCAACACUGACGCUGAGACCCGAAAGCGUGGGGAUCAAACAGG